AGUUUUCAUUUCUUGGCAGUUGUUCACAGUCGAAUGAAAAGAUUGGAUUUAGUUUAACUUAAAUUAUUGUCGUUUUUAAAAUCAACUUUUAAUUACAAAUUAAAUCCUUGUUUAUCGUACAGCCAUGGGACUGUGGUUGCUGCUGGCAAAUUAGCUUGGAAUAACUAGUUUUUUGUCCAAAAGUUUUUUGUUUAAUAUUGGGACAAAGAAAGCUGGCGAUGAUUAUGAUGGCGAUGAUGAUACAGGAAGAAACUGACAAGCAAAUAAAUUUGGAAAACCACUAAAUUGAAAUGAAUUUAAUGUUAUUCCGUACUGGGCAGCAACUGGAAAGGACUAAUAACAUUUUGCUUGGGACAUUAUCGUUGUUGUUCCCAAGAAGAAGGAAAGGUAAGGAGACAUCAUGUUAAAGAAAGAAAUUAAGGCGGUGAAGAGAGAAGAAAGAUGUUAUAAGAUGCAGUAAGAAAGCUUCGAACGUGGCCUGUUACAGAUACAGCUUACUCCUCUUAAAGUUUUUUUCUUCAUCUUCACUCCAAACAGAUAUAUAUCCACACCAUAUCAGGAGCAAACCCAUCUUCACUGCCUUGAUUGUUGAUCCACAACUGCAAUAUCAUCAAUUUUAUCACAAUUUCUAAAGACGGGUUUAGUUGACGUUUUUCAAGCCAAUCUCAGCCAACCCAAGUCAAGCCAAGCCAAGCUCACACUUUCCAUUAUUAUUCAAUUCAUACCAACAACUGCGAAAGCUUCACAUCAUCAAAGCUUAUUCCCAUUCAAAGCUUUGGGAUUUACUUUCGGACAAGAAUGAUGCUCCUAUUGAAUAACCUCAUUCGUUGAUGUAAAUAGUUAAAUUGGCCGAUACCAUCAAUUCAUCACUCAAGUUUCUCCAAAUUCAGAUAUUACUUGGCCAAGGAAUGUUUUCUCGACUGAAAAGCAAUAUGAAAAUUCAAUUGUAACUAAUGAAUCCCUCUUUUUGUCGUAUUUAUUGCUAAAAUAUAAUGAUAUUUUCCUUGA
Molecule: long non-coding RNA, 1008 nt
Organism: Tetranychus urticae (two-spotted spider mite)
Lineage: Eukaryota; Metazoa; Arthropoda; Arachnida; Trombidiformes; Tetranychidae
Source: RefSeq, a predicted model, not a curated record